GACGAACGCUGGCGGCGUGCUUAACACAUGCAAGUCGAACGGUGAAGCCCUUCGGGGUGGAUCAGUGGCGAACGGGUGAGUAACACGUGAGCAACCUGCCCCUGGCUCUGGGACAACCACUGGAAACGGUGGCUAAUACCGGAUACGACCCGCCUCGGCAUCGAGUGUGGGUGGAAAGUUUUUCGGCUGGGGAUGGGCUCGCGGCCUAUCAGCUUGUUGGUGAGGUGAAGGCUCACCAAGGCGACGACGGGUAGCCGGCCUGAGAGGGCGACCGGCCACACUGGGGCUGAGACACGGCCCAGACUCCUACGGGAGGCAGCAGUGGGGAAUAUUGCGCAAUGGGCGAAAGCCUGAUGCAGCGACGCCGCGUGAGGGAUGACGGCCUUCGGGUUGUAAACCUCUUUCAGCUCCGAAGAAGCGAAAGUGACGGUAGGAGCAGAAGAAGCACCGGCUAACUACGUG
This 462-nucleotide ribosomal RNA is filed under the name uncultured bacterium. RNAcentral's name for it is "partial 16S ribosomal RNA". It matches the Rfam family "Bacterial small subunit ribosomal RNA", at positions 28 to 507 of the family's 1533-position model. The record is from RNAcentral.